Molecule: long non-coding RNA, 781 nt
Organism: Lactuca sativa (garden lettuce)
Lineage: Eukaryota; Viridiplantae; Streptophyta; Magnoliopsida; Asterales; Asteraceae
Source: RefSeq, a predicted model, not a curated record
GAAAUUAGGGCUCAUUUGUCCCCGUCAUUUGUUGAAGGAUGAAAUGAAUCAACGAAGUUGGUGGGACGGAUGAUUACAGUGGAGAAGAGGCGCACGAAGGCAGUAGCGCGGCUUCUGCUCCCUUGCUCGUCGCAGGCCUAGAAGAGGACUGAAAGGAAGGAAAAGCUCGCACGAGGAGGUGGAGGUGGCGAGGCUUCUUCUUCUCGUCCCGCUGCGGGGUGUGAAUGGGGAUAAGAAGCGGGUCCGCCUAGAGCGAUGCGAGCAGCAGUAGCGACGAGUCUAGAUCCUCGGUGGGUUUGCUCGACGGAAGAAGUGGAGGGUGCGAGGGGCUCGAUCAGUGGAAAGGGAGGGUUCCGGUAUGGCCGAAGAGAUGGUAAAAGGGGAAAAGGCUUCGCUCUCGGUGGUGAUCGACGAGCAAUAUGGAGAGGGACAGCCUCCCUCCGGCGAUUUGCAGGGAAAUCGAUGGGUGUUUGUUCUUGUGUUCUUGACUGGAACUGAUGCAGAAUGAAAGGAAACAUGGAGGCGUUUGGGUUUGUUUCAUUUGACAGUUCACGAAGAAGAAGAGUCCAGGAAGCCUCCACGCGCAGAUAUUAGCCUUUGCAGAUUGUUUGUUUUUUGAAGACGGCAAGACCAUGCGCAGAUAUUAGCCUUUGCAGACUGUUUGUUUUUUGAAGACUGCAGACCUAAAAAUGUCUGCUUGUUCUCUUCUUGGCGUAGAUAUGGACCAGAGUCUUUAACAUCUUCAGACAUCUUCCAGCCUAAAAAAACAUAUAAAUAAAAA